GGAUGGUCUCCCUGGGAGCCAGACAGGAUUCUGCACAGAGAAUCAUCUUGCUCUUCAAUAUCCGAUGCUCAGCUUUUUUUUUUUUUUUGACUCUGGUUAUUACAAACAUCUUGCUCUUUUGGCUUUUUAUUUGUUAGCCUGGCUGCUUGUCACAUAAUUGCCUACCUUGAUUUAGGGCAG
Molecule: unclassified non-coding RNA, 180 nt
Organism: Cricetulus griseus (Chinese hamster)
Lineage: Eukaryota; Metazoa; Chordata; Mammalia; Rodentia; Cricetidae
Product: predicted gene, 27365
Source: Ensembl